CAGGGAGACAACAAAAUGUUUAAUAUUAUUAUUUUGUCACCUUAGGUCGAUCGGUAUCUCACGUUCUUAAUUUGUUAAGAAUUUCAUUUCCUAAGUUUUUCUAGGUCACACCCAUUAUUUUUCCUGGGCCAUUAGCUCAGGUGGUUAGAGCGCACCCCUGAUAAGGGUGAGGUCCCUGGUUCAAGUCCAGGAUGGCCCAUAUCUCUAUGUUGGGGGUAUAGCUCAGUUGGUAGAGCGCCUGCUUUGCAAGCAGGAUGUCAGCGGUUCGAGUCCGCUUACCUCCACUGAUUACCACCUCUUCCAUAUCUGGUAGAAAGGAAAUGUUUUGAGUUGUGAUUAUUAUUCUGAACGAAUCUAGCUUCCUAAUGAAAUCAUUAAGAUGCUGGACUCAUUGAAUUAAUUUCAUUGUUUUCAGAGAACCUUGACAACUGCAUAGAUUUUUUUAAAGACAAUAAGCAUCUUUAAUGAUGCAGAUUUAUUAUUUGUGCGAAUGCAUUAAUAACAAUUCUAUUAAGCUGAUGCUUCAAUGUUUGAAGUUAUU
RNAcentral lists this transfer RNA (541 nucleotides) under uncultured Prochlorococcus sp. Its description in RNAcentral is "partial 16S-23S ribosomal RNA intergenic spacer". The stretch from base 212 to 284 matches the Rfam family "tRNA". Lineage: Bacteria; Bacillati; Cyanobacteriota; Cyanophyceae; Synechococcales; Prochlorococcaceae. The record is from RNAcentral.